Non-coding RNA from Caerostris darwini, 112 nucleotides. The record is from the annotation of a GenBank genome assembly. Lineage: Eukaryota; Metazoa; Arthropoda; Arachnida; Araneae; Araneidae.
AACGGCCGUACCAUGCUGAAUAUACCGGUUCUCGUUAGAUCACCGAAGUCAAGCAUCAUUGGGCACGGUCAGUACUUGGGUGGGUGACCACCUGGGAACACUGCGUGCCGUU